UUAAAUUGAAGAGUUUGAUCAUGGCUCAGAUUGAACGCUGGCGGCAGGCCUAACACAUGCAAGUCGAACGGUAACAGGAAGCAGCUUGCUGCUUCGCUGACGAGUGGCGGACGGGUGAGUAAGGUGCUGGGAAA
Molecule: ribosomal RNA, 134 nt
Filed under: Salmonella enterica subsp. enterica serovar Typhimurium
Lineage: Bacteria; Pseudomonadati; Pseudomonadota; Gammaproteobacteria; Enterobacterales; Enterobacteriaceae
Description: partial 16S ribosomal RNA
Rfam family: Bacterial small subunit ribosomal RNA
Source: RNAcentral